This is a long non-coding RNA of Triticum aestivum (bread wheat), 2627 nucleotides long. RefSeq lists it as uncharacterized. NCBI's taxonomy places the organism in Eukaryota, Viridiplantae, Streptophyta, Magnoliopsida, Poales, Poaceae. The record is from RefSeq and is a predicted model, not a curated record. The transcript has 5 exons.
GUCCCUGUAGUUUUUGGUAAUUGAACCCGCAGUCCCUGUUUAAGUGAAUCUGAGAAAAUGCUUCAUUGUUUGCAGAAAACCCCUGCAUUUAUUAGUUUUCAGCCCGUGAUCCUUCCCCAGUUUCCCCUCUGCCCCGACUAAAAAAAUCCCCUCUGUGCCAGCCGGCGCCCGACGGCCCGAUUCAGCGCCUCCCGCCGGAGACCGCCCGCCGCCGACGAGGGGCACGCCGGUGAUCUCCCCCAGCCCGCCUGCCCCUCUUUCAUAUCCGUUCUACUCCUUCUCUCUCGGCCCCCUCGAGCUCGCCUCGAUCCAUGGCCUCUUCUUAAACCUAGCUCCGGUCACGGCCACGACCGGCUUCGCAGCUCCCGGCCGCCAUCGCCUGCGCCUCCCCCCGUGUCUCCCUCACCUCGCCUGUGCAGCACCGUGGUUGUACAUCGCCAGCGCCAUCAGCUACAGCCCCGCUCUAAUCCACCUGCAAGCCAUGGACAGCGGCCUGGCUGCUUACUCGUCGCUGGCCUACCAGUACCUCCACCAACAUCUCAUCCAUCUAGAUCAGGGGCGCUUUAAUUUCAGCAGAUUUUCUUCUUCUUUGCAACAUGGUAAUUUUCUGGGAUAGAGUCUUGAUUUUAAUUAUUGCAGAAUGGCAAUCUGCUUUAUGUUGGCUUUAUCAUCUCAGGAUAAUCCAGAUGUUUUCCUAUGCCUUGAAGAGUUGUUGAUGGAUGAUAUACAUAGGCUACCAGGUGGUAGCUCCAAUGUUGCAACUGAGGCCAGCAAUGGGUGCUUCUCCUGGGAUGGCUCACCUGAGAUACCAACGUUGAAGGAUCUGAAUUUUCAAGCUCGGCAAGGCAUGCGUGUUGCACUUUGUGGGACGGUCGGCUCUGGAAAAUCAAGUUUGAUCACUUGAAUUCUUGGUAUGGAGCCAAAGCUAUUAGGAGAGGCCAAGACUUGCGGAACAAUGGCAUAUGUCAGCCACAAGGCAUGGAUACAGAGCGGCAAAAUUCAGGAUAACAUACUGCUCGGCAAGGAGAUGGAGAGUGAGGAGUAUGACACGGUCCUUGAGUGGUAUUCGCUAAAGAAAUACUUGGAGAUCAAAAUCAUUGGAGAGUGAGGCUGCACUCUUAGUGGCAGGCAGAAACAAAGGAUUCAGAUAGCCCGGGCAUUGUGAUGUAUGCUGACAACUAUUUUGUUCCAUGAUCCGUUCAACGCAGUUGAUGCUCAUACAGGAUCCUAAUUUUCCAAGAAUCUUUGCUGAACUCCCAUGGUGUUAGUUGUUCUUGAACCGAAGAAACGUGCGGUCUGGAAUUGACAUCAUUCAGUUCCUUGAUGAAAACAAAGUUGCAUGUCCUUUUAGUCUAAACGUAAUAUUAUGCCUUGGAGCAUAUGAUGGGGGUCAAAUCGCAGUUAUGAACUGCAUUGCACGUGCAUGAAGGCGAAUGAUUUUUCUGGAUGCCAUUGCCAUCUGAUCGAUGGUUUCGCCGCGGUCGUUGGGAGAAAUAUCAUCGACGGUAGGGGAAAAGCGGGUAGGCUGAGGCGGGCACCCACACCAAGCGGCCGACCCACGAAGGCGGCCAUGCAGCUCCGCCUCGUGCCUCUCUCCCCAUCUCUAUGUUCGUGUCAAACCCAGCGCAAGGUAGAGGCAGAAGAGGAGGCCGGGAAGAGAAGCUGCAAGAGAAAGUUGUUGAAGUGGAAGAAGGUGAACCUGUAGAAGAGCUGAAAAAAGGAUGUGGUAGAGACAAGGAAGCAAAGCCUAAACAGUAUAAUGAUGCAGACAUGCGAAUGCAUCAGGUAGCGCACACAUGACGCAGCUGCAGCAGGAGCACACAAGCCGCACAUGCACGGGACAUAUCACAUGGCCAAGAGUGUGCUGAGGGGCAGCCGGCGUGCACUCGCCGCAAAGCGGAGCAACAGCGAGAUUGGGCACCUCCUCAGGUUGGCUUCAGGGGCGAAAUGUUGGCAUCGCCUGGCUCGAGCCCCUCCUCUUCGUGGAGCUCGACCCGAGGGAGGAAGAGGAGUGGAGAAAAAUAUAAAGAAGGAAUCUAAGCCAUCGAUGCCUGCUCUGUUCGCUGCUCUCGUGGAGGCGUGCACUUGCGAUUGGAAGAGGUGACAAGGAAGGCAAGUAGAAAAACGAACACCACUUAAAUUCAGGCAAUCGCCGGCCAUACGCCCCAAGAAAAGAAAAAAGGACACCCAGCUGCUCACCUGACGCCGGAAAAGAUCAAGCCUUCUUCAAGAUGGAGACGGUCUGGUCCAGGCAGGGGUCAUCGGGAGGAGGAAGUAGCCAAAGAAAUCGUCGGCAGGGCGCUGCCCUCCUCCCCGUGGCCCUCGACGGAGCCAUGGGGCUCGACACCCUCGAGUCCGAAGCGGCGGCGGUGUCCAUGCUUUUUUUUUUGCAACCCUGAGGCAGUAGAGGAGAGGUGGUUCAAGGAGCGAGGGUUUCAUUUGAUCGGGGCGAGGUGGGCCCAUAGAGCGGUGGAGGACUUCGCCCGAGUUUUCCAGAGAUUAUCUCACGCAUGGCAGCGAAACACGUGGAGAGUACGUGGCACACCACAAUUCAGUCAAACCAGCCACCGACGUACCCCCAUCUCACGUGAAAAGCGCUGAGCAAGAUAAGAAAAGAGAUACACUCC